GGAAAUUUAUCAAUAUUCUCCCAUCCAGGUCGACAAUGGGGAGAAGCAAAAAAAAAGGGGGAUUUAUCCCUCAAAGAAAUAAAGGCUGCCCAAACAUAUAUCUUACUAAAUUAUGAGGAGAUUGAGCCGUUUGUGAGGAUCAAACAGACGAGAGUAUUGAAGAAAAUUUCUCUUUAUGGUUCAAGGAAUUUAUAUGGCUGGAGGCAGAGUUCGUGGAAAAUCCUCAAGUAGGAGUAAUCCUGCUGUUCGUGUAAGCAUGACAACUCUUCCCAAGCCCACUAGAUUUUCUCCUCGAAAGGUGGUACCCCGACCAAUAUUGUUACGUCAACUCAAAGUAUUAGCCCAAUCAACUCAAAGACACCUCCAGUUACACAAAAUGAGAGUAACCGAACAAGUUAGGGUCUUUCUACCCACAAUAAUGUUCAGGAGCCUUAUUAGAAGCACAUUCUUAAUGUAUUGUUGGAGGCAGAGGUCAUGGAAAUACUCAUGUAAGAAUAAUUCUGCUAUUCGUGUAAACAUGCCAAUUAUUCCCAAGCCCUCUACAAUUUCUCCUGAACAAGGUGGUACCCUAACCAAUAUUGAAACGUUAACUUAAAGUACUAGCCCAACCAUCUUCGGGACACCUCUAUCUACAUCAAAUGACAGUAACUUAAUAGGUCAAGGUCUUUCUACCCGUAGCAAUGUUCCAACAGGUCAUACAAAUACAGUUGCUGAAGACUGGAACCUUCUCAAAUAUGCUCUAGUUUCAUAUCAAAAUCUUUCAAAAAAGUGGUUGAUCUCAAAUAAAUCAUUUGGAAAGGUGUUUCAAAUGAUGUGGGAAAUGGGUAUUUUGGAGAAUUUAAGGUAUAAUUUUUUAUCGUAAGUGAUUUUAGCAAGUGUAUUCACAUAUAUAGAUAGGACAUUCAUGUACUACUUUCAAAAUUUAUUUCAAAAAAAGUUCUGCUAGGAAGUUUCCAUUAGUGGAAACAAAGUCAAACACACUGGAUGGUUAAGGCAACAUUAAAUUAUAGAAAUUUUAUUUCUAAAAUAAAAAAGGAGGAGUUGGGCCAGGUUACGUACAAGAAGAUGUGUUCGAAAGAUGGAUUGAUCUUCGGGAAAGUGCAGAGUAUAUUAGAAAAUCAUAAAUUAAUUAGCAAAAUCGUCGUAGCGGUCGUGAAAUUGCCAUUGGGACUCACACUAGUGGCUCUAUUUCUAUCGGAGAACAUGAUAUUGAAAAACGCUGAGAUCCCACGCCAAGUGAGUUACAUCUUCAUGUUCAUACACAUGGACAUGAUGGAAUAACAAUUGUUGGUUAGCGUUUUCGAGAUAUCCGUCAUAUUACCAAGCUACGAGAGGAGAAAAGAAAAGAAGAAUCUACGGUCUUGGAUCUAAAGCAAAAAAUUACUAUGGGCAGAAACUUUGUGGGUCAUCAUCAUUAACACAUCCAUUUUAUCAAUAAACAUCGACAACAAAAAUGGAUGAGUUUAUAAAGAAAAUGAUGUCUGCACUAACUAGUCAUCUUGUUCCUAUUAUUUUUGAGCAUGUGAAAGCAUCGAUUACUCCAUUCGGCAAUCCAUCAUCUGCGGCGCCCAUGCCUCCUGCUUGUAAUGUGGAUGAGGUUGAUACCUCUAUUUCAAGUUGAUACCUCCAGAGCUUCAAUUUUUGAUGUUAUCACACUUUUUGGAAACUAGAAAUUGCGCGUAGUAAUAUUUUGAUAAACAUGGGUUAAUUUAAGAGUACUUUAUAGUUUUCUUUGUAUA
Solanum pennellii is the source of this 1739-nucleotide long non-coding RNA. RefSeq lists it as uncharacterized. The transcript is spliced from 7 exons. NCBI's taxonomy places the organism in Eukaryota, Viridiplantae, Streptophyta, Magnoliopsida, Solanales, Solanaceae. The record is from RefSeq and is a predicted model, not a curated record.